GGGGAAUCUUGCGCAAUGGGCGAAAGCCUGACGCAGCCAUGCCGCGUGAAUGAUGAAGGUCUUAGGAUUGUAAAAUUCUUUCACCGGGGACGAUAAUGACGGUACCCGGAGAAGAAGCCCCGGCUAACUUCGUGCCAGCAGCCGCGGUAAUACGAAGGGGGCUAGCGUUGCUCGGAAUUACUGGGCGUAAAGGGAGCGUAGGCGGAUAGUUCAGUCAGAGGUGAAAGCCCAGGGCUCAACCUUGGAAUUGCCUUUGAUACUGGCUGUCUUGAGUAUGGGAGAGGUUAGCGGAACUCCGAGUGUAGAGGUGAAAUUCGUAGAUAUUCGGAAGAACACCAGUGGCGAAGGCGGCUAACUGGCCCAUUACUGACGCUGAGGCUCGAAAGCGUGGGGAGCAAAC
This 400-nucleotide ribosomal RNA is filed under the name uncultured bacterium. RNAcentral describes it as "bacterial SSU rRNA". It matches the Rfam family "Bacterial small subunit ribosomal RNA", at positions 356 to 773 of the family's 1533-position model. The record is from RNAcentral.